CAGAUGAUGAAGUAAUAAAUGGAUGGAUACAAUAUUUAGUUGAUUUAGCUAAUGCCAGCAGAAACAAGUCUCUAUUUGUUGAAAGAAAUCUGCAGCCAUAUUAUGCAAUCACGAUAGAUUAUAAAUGAAGGUUGAUUCAGAACAUGUGGAUAAGUUUUAAAUUGAAUCAAGUAGAACCUAGACUAUGUUAAUGAGUCCUUGUGGCUUCUUCCUUAGUCUCAUAGCAGUUCACCCAGUAAUUUGGUGAACAUGUAAUUCUUAUUUUCUUUUGUUUUGAGUUAUUUAAUGUGCAACUUUUUCCUUGAUGUGCGGCCAGAUUUGGAAUGCAUGGAUACGAAGUAUGGUUCAAAUUGUAUGGCAUGGCAUUGUACUUCCUGAACAUGACACAUGCUGCCUACCCACAAAAAUGUGUACAUAAACAGGAUGUGUAUAUGUUUAUAUCUGGGCUUGUUUGUGGUUAGAUGGACUCUUCAUAUGUGUCUAUAAAUUUUUGGGAAAGGGGGGGUGGGGGGGAAGAGAGAGAGAGUUACUAUGGGUCUCUAUUGAUCGUCAUUCUCGUGCUACAUGCUCAGACGUUUCUACCUUGUGCUUGGUACCACUGUCUUUCACUUUUACUGAGAACAAGAUUGAAUUGAUUACAUCUUUUGUCUUCAAAAGUUUUUGAAACUCAAAAAUGCAAUGACUUAGAUUCUUCUCUUUUUCCCCUGUUUUGUGUUCUUACUUCUUUGGGAUAGAUAGCUAGAUGUCUUGGGGAGGGAGAGGGAGAGAGAGCCUGUAUGGGCAUGGUACUUAACAUUGUGGAUUUAACUAGUGGUGGACUGUACGGACAUGGUACUUAACAUUGUGGAUUUAACUAGUGGUUGAACUAUGUCAUAUUUGAUUGAUGUGAAAAAUGCUGCUUUGAAGCAUCAUAGAUAAUAUUCUGGACACAAAUGGAACUUCUGGAAAUUGUUUUAUUAGCUUCUGAAUUGGUGUCUGAGUGUGUCUAUCUUUCUUCAAUCUGUCCUUACUUCCAAUGGUACGUUUUGACGAAAAGAAAUUUUGAGGCCUUGAAGAAAGGACCAUAUUGUACUGUUCUUUAUUAGUUACCACAUGGCUUGAUUUGUUCUUAGUUUCCUGGUGAAACUUUGAAAAAUAAAUAUUGUCUUCAAAGAUGUUCAAAACCUGUCUUGAUCUAUGUGUUUCUUGGCGUUUUUGCCUUUGUUCAAUCUAUUCAACUUAAUAACCAUUCUUCUGCCCCAUUCACAUUUAGGAUCCUGUUUUUAGUGCAUCUGUUAUGCAUUACUCUUUUGCAUCAUGUGCAUAUAAUUGUCUAUAGGUAAUUCUAAGAGGUUUCUUGUUAGUGAGCUGAUGGAUUGUGUGCUUAAUCUCCUAUUUAUGUGUAUUUUUUCUUGUAUAUUGACCAUAGUUCAUUUUGCAUGUUUGAGUUAUGUGCCUUUGGUCAAAUGGGCCAUAUCCUGCUCUCCUCCUGGUGGGAUGCUGCGUGAAUUGACAUUAUGCAUGUGUGCUUGUUUGCAUGUUGUGGCUUGAAGAGGGUUCCAAUAUCCUUUUAUUGCUGAAGAAAUUAGAAGUGUUGCAAGAGCAGAUCCAGCCCUUCGAAAGCUUUUUGUUCGUGGUUUAUCCUGGAAUACUACUUCAGAGACCUUGUGUGCUGUGAGUGCAUUGUUGUAUGCUUGUUUUAGGUUCCCUUUGUAAAAGUUGCCUGUGACAUGGCCAUCACAAGAGAAAAUUUAUUUGCUUAUGGUUCUCUUUUCCCAGCAUAAUGGCUUUAAGACUUUCCAGCAAAAGUAAUAAGCUUAAUGACAGAAAAAUCUCAUGUGGUUGUUACUGUUCAGGCAUUUGAAGAGCAUGGGGAAAUUGAAGAGGGUGCUGUGAUAGCUGACAAAGCUACAGGAAAAUCACGUGGCUAUGGUUUCAUCACAUACAAAGACAUGGAGUCAGCUCAGAGAGCUUUAAAAGCACCAAGCAAAAUUAUUGAUGUAAGCAAUUACCAUUCUCCUUCAUUAGGCUCACUGAUCUUUGCUAUGGUUGCCUAUUGGGUAAAAUGGAAAAGGAGUUGAAAAAUUAACUUUUGGCUUCUUUUGUUUUUCUGUGAUCUACAUCAUCAAGUUCAAGUGUCGCCCAAUUGUGAGUAAGAGAGAGCUUUGUAAUAAUCUUUCUGUUUUUGCAAACUGGUUCUAUAAGGAAAGACCAAAAGGUAAUAAGGUAGUUGCAUUUGACACUUCCAGGGAAAGAAGAAAGACAGAAAAGUUAAUAGUUUACUGGGUUCAAUCUUCGUGCAAUGAGGGGUUGCUUCAUUUUAUUUUGCAAAGACAUGUCACUAGUAGGAGGAGAAUUUCUUCUUUUGGGUAAAAGGCAAAGCUGCAUGAGCUUAGCCUCAUACUUUCGGUUUGCCUUAAGGCUAUGUUGAUAAUGCUAUAGUUGUCUAAUUGAGGAGACAAAGUCAGAAUACAGCUUUGUAUCUUAUUUGUUGUGCUAAUUUAGUAAAUGGAGUGUUUCUCUUUCUGUUUUGUUUGUGUCUCAGUAUGUUUAACAUUGCAUAUAGCUGAUUCUGUGAUAUUUUAAGCCCUCUUUUACUCAGUUAAAUUGGUUGACUUUUUGGCCAAUAGUUGUGUAGUUUAACUGGCUUGCAAUAGUGUUGAAAAUUUGACUUCAGACUUCUUGCUUCAUUCUUCCUGAGAGACUAUUCUGGAGAGUUCAUGUUUUGGCUUCCAUUUUGCAACAAUAAAACUUGGUGUAAUCACCGAAGUCUUCAUAGAUUGAGUAAAAUUGACGUGUUAUCCUGAUCUACUUGAUUUUAACCUCAUUUAUUUCAUGCAUUUUGAAUAUUAGUGCAUUGACCACUUUAGUGCAUUGGUGCUGCCUGUUACUUAAACAAACCAUUUUUUGAUUUUAUGCUCUCUAUCUGUUGGUUUUAGGGUCGCAUGGCUGUCUGUAACCUAGCCUGUGAGGGCUUGAGCAGCUCCAGCACUACACCUGAUCAGGCCCAGAGAAAGCUCUAUAUUGGUAGUUUGUCACCGGAAACUACCAGUGAAUUGCUACUGAGCUUCUUUGCAAAGCACGGUGAGAUAGAAGAAGGUUCAGUGGCAUAUGACAAGGAAACAAACAGAUCACGGUAUGAAACCUUCCUAUCUCUAUGUUGCUACUAAAAUUAGGGAAUCUGUUAUGAGCAAAAUGUGAUGAAUCUGACCGUACAUAUGCAGUGGUUUUGGCUUUGUUACUUUCAAAACUGUGGAAGCUGCAAAGAGAGCUAUAGAUGAUCCACAAAAGAUGCUUGGGGUGAGUAGGCAUAACUUCAUAUCUGACUUGUGUGCUUAUGCAAGUUAUGUAGUUCUUGUUGGUGAAGUUGAAAUUUCAGUCUUUUAACUUUCAAUCUUGUAGGACAGGUGUUCUGUUUGUGUACAGCCAGAUAUGUGUAAGAAUUAGAUGUAUAUCAGAUGUUCGAAGUAAAAUGUAUUAUAAAUUAGCAAAUCCUAAGCUCUUUCCGAGCAAAAUCUGAUUUACGACAAUGUGCAGGGGCAUUACGAUUCAAAUAUGUUAGCAUAUGCAUUGUGCUAUGUACUCCAAGUAGUUAUGUGCAGAUGAGGAUGUUAUCCAAGGAAAGAUACUUUCUCAAGUUAAUGCUAAUGUGAAGUCUGGUUGUAGUAGCCAAAGGAGUUUCAUGCCAUAUAUGCCUUUGUACUACCAUCUAGAAUGUCAAAAGUUGUGGGCUUGAUACUUUUGUUAAAGACUGGUCUGAGUUAACAGUUGCAUGCAUUAGCCACCACACCACCACGCGUUCCGUGUAUAGACUGAUAGCAAGAAAAGAUUGAUGCAUCAGUUCUGUGCUACUGUGGCUGUGAAUGAAUAUCCUUAGACCCGCAAAGACACGACCUUUUUUGGCUACUCUGAUAUACUCGAAAGCUCUUUUAACAUUAAAACUAUUAAGGUUGGACAGGCUACAACUACAUGAUAUCAGAAGAACGGAGGAAAGGCUUUCAGAAAAAUUUUAAAUGUUAACAGUUAUUUCUGAUAUUAAUAUUCAGUACAUCAGGGAAGUCAGAUCCAGUGUGAAUUCUUUGAGUGUUACUUUUGAAUGGUGUUGAUUGAGCUACAACAGAAGCCACUAUAUCAUUUUUUUUAAUCGUUUUUAUUGUAUGAUUAUUUACCCUAGGUAGCAAACCAGCAGCCCUCUUUUUGGUGCAUGUAAUAUCUGUGUAAAUAAGAAAUGUGUAUGUCUUUGUUAGUGAUUAUUAUGAAGGAAUUUUGUCUUUUCAAAAUGGUUGCAGGGAAGAAAUAUAACUGUGAAGCUUGCUGAUAACCACAAAGGCAAAGUUAUGCACACACAGUUACCAUCACCAAUUGUUCCAGUACCAGUUGGUUUGGCUUCUGCAUACCCUCCCCCUCAUAAUGUUCAUUCUGGCUCUGGAAAUCCGGUUGGAUAUGCUUAUCCUCAACCAUUGGCAGCAUAUCCUGGUACUGCAUACUCAAGUCCACCUGUAGUAGGAGCUGGUGCAUACCCAGGCCAACCACAGACUUCGUAUCCCCAGUUUGGUCAUAAGAAAGAUCCUCCAACUCCACCUUCAGCACUAGGAGGGUACCCGUAUUACAUGCCAAAGCAAUGAUUAUAACCUCAUUGUAAGCAUGUUUCAGCCAGCUGAUUGCUAUUCCUUGUCCCUUUCCUAAGCACAUUCCUAAGAUAACUUGGCCCCUGCAGGAUUCUUAACGAAUUAUUAGCUGCUUAAUAAAUAGUUGCUACAUGUUAAAUUUUGUCUUACUCUCUCUUUUCCUUUUGUAUUCCUUUUAACCCAGGUUCUCAGGAGCUUAGGUUAUUGCAUUUGAGAAAGGAGCAAACUUGGAUGAGGAUAUGCAAAUUAAAUGUUUUAUUGUUGCAGCACCUAAUUAUUGUAAUGGACAAAUUUUUUGUAGUUGUAGAUGUUAUAAGGAUGCCAUGUUACAGGUGGCAGAUUUAAUCUCUGUAUCUAUCUUAGCUUGAUAAAGACGUAGCUGUCCUUGGUUUUGUCUGAUUUUCUUCCUCCAAUACAACUCGAUUUGUUUUGUCUGCUUUUUGGAUGCGGUUAUGGUGUUUAUUUGCUUGAGUUCUACUGCCGGGGAACAACAAACUUUUUGCACAUUUCAUUGCAUGCCAAUAAUGGUCUUGCUGCCGCUGAAAAUGAUCAGAAUCUGCCCAUGAUACAAGCGUUUCCUAUUGAGGUAUCUCUCGGUAAUAGGACCAAAAAACUAGACGCCAUUUUUUCCAGUCUGGUAAACUUCUGAAGCGCCGGCCACCGGUGGAAAGCUGAAUGGUAGACUAGUCACAUAUGUAUGUAUAGUCAUCUGCUGGAUAUAUGCGGCUUGAAAAGAGAGGGAAUGGAAUGUUGAGAUUGGGAGAUUACUAAGAGAGCGUAUUGGUUGUGGCACAAUUGCCAUGGUACCAAACGAAAAGAUAAUGAAACUCAGGUUUGGAUUCAAGAGUUUUUUAAAAACUAGUUUUUCAAAUACUAUAUUAAAAUUUUAAAAAAAUACUCUAAAAAGUAAUCUAAAUAUUUUUAAUAUUUAAAAAAUAUUCCAAAAUAUAUUCUAAUAACUUUUCUGCUCUUAAAUAUCCCAAAAUAUUUUUUAAAAUAUACUAUAGAAAUUUUGUUACAGUAAAUUUUUUCAAAAAUACUCCAAAAAACAGCUAAUCCUCUGUUAGCUGUUUUUGGAGGUAUUUUUGAAAAAAUUUAUUGUAGUAGUGUAUAUGAAAAAUUUUUACUAUAAAAAAUUUUUGAAAUUUUUGAUAUAUUAUAUGGAUGAGAUAUUUUUUGAGUUAUUAUGUAUUACUAUAACAUUAUAUUUGAAAAACUUGUUUUUGAAAAAAUGGCUAAUCCAAACGGAAAAUGAGUUUCUUAUUUGCUUUAUUAAUUGAUCUGAAGUUAGGAAAAAGCAAUUUGGAGAUUUGUAUUAUUUGUUUCGGUUUUGUUUAGGUUCCAAAAACGGAAUUCGAGAUACAUGAAAAGUAAGAAGAAAGUAUUUCUGUUUUAAUUUUUUAAAAAAAAAUGGGAAAAAGGGUGAAAUUUAAGGUUUCGACAAGAAGAGCAUAUUAAUUGUUUUACGUUGCAUGACACUGAUUUUGUAUUAAUUGUUUCACUGAAAAAAGAUGUUAUUUGGAAUGUAGUUUUUUAAGGAAAAUUUUUUACUUUUCUCAUAGACACAUUUUCCAUUAACCUUUUUAACUUAUAUCCAUGAAAUCAUUAAAGUGCAUUUUUACAAAAAAAAAAAAAUUAAAAAUAGCAAUCCAACUGGAACCAAAAAAUUUGGUAACCUUUUCCUUGUUGGAGUUUUUUUUUUAAGUUUUUAGGCUGCUUUCGAAGGUUAGAAAAUCAGAAAACAACUUUUUAUUUUAUUUUAUUUUUGGAGCGGAAUGGCAAGCUUGUCACAAAAACUUUUCAAUUAAAAUAGUUUUCCAGAGUACUCAAAAGGUAAAUAAAAAUAUGCGAAAAUUUUCCAAUAUCAAAAAACUUUUUUCUGGCCACUAAAGUCAAAGUCAAAAGGUGUGAAAAAUGUACGGCCUCUUAAUUGGUUUAAAUACAUUUUGAAAAAAAAAAAAAAAAAAAAACCCAAUAUUUGCAAUGCCCUUUGCGUAAAGUCCAUAUUUACCUUAAUAACCUUGAGUUUGACGUUAUUGUAAGCACUUUCGUCUUCGGAGCCUAAAAACCCUUCCCCUGAGACAAAAACCCCUUUUGUCUGCUGGUGUCAAUGAACUCCUUGCUCCUCUAAUGGCUACUUCUGCAUCAUCAUCCAAAGGCAUCAAAAACUUCUGCAUAACUUGAGGUAUGCAACUUCUCAAUAAAGCCCAUGCAAAAUAACAUAUGCUUUAUUAGUUAGAAUAAUAGUUUUUUCCUCACUUAUUUAGUCAGCAUUUGUUGCUAUUUUGAUUCUCUGUGUAUUAUAGAAGAAAAAUGGUCUUGGCCCAUUUGCAGAAACUUGGAAAACCAUCCAUUGUCAAAUGGGUUUCUAUUGGUUUUGUUAAUAACAACUUUAGAGUAUCAAGAAGCAAUUUUUGGGCAAUUUGGGGAACUGGGUCGUGCCAAAUUGCCAAAAACUUUAGCUGUUAUAGUAGAAGAAAGGCCAGGAUGAUGGAAAUUGCUGCUGAAAAGGAAGCCCAAGCUGCUUUGUUAGAUUACUUGCAUUCUACUAGAAGCUUGCUGUUUACUGAUGCUGAUAAUAUGAGUAGAAAUUCACCACACUUUCUCAGGAAGUUGUUGGGAAAAGUGGAUAAUCAGGCUGAGAUUGGGCGGUCUAUAACCCGGUUUCUUAGGUACCAUCCUAUCAACGAGUUUGAACCAUUUUUUGAGAGUAUGGGAUUGAAACCUUCUGAGUACUCUACGUUGCUUCCAAGGCAACUGAUGUUCUUGAAUGAUGAUCCUGUUUUGCUGGAGAACUAUCAUGUCUUGUGUAAUUACGGUAUUGCACGGAAUAAGGUAGGAAAAUUUUACAAGGAAGUGCCUGAGAUUUUCAGAUACGGUGAGGGGGUCCUGCAGAAAAAGAUUGAUUCUUUUGAAAAGGUGGGGCUGAGUCAAUCUACUGUGAUCAGAGCUGUUCUUUCAAGUCCAUAUCUUUUGGUUGGGGAUGCAAAUCUGGAGUUCUUUGAUGUUUUAGAUAAAUUGAGGAGUGCUGAUCCUGCAUUUGAUUGGAUUGAGCACUUAAUGGAAGAAAAUUCGUAUGAUUGGAGGCAAAUGCUUGAGAUUUUGUGCUUGCUUGGCAAGAUGGGUUGCAGUGAGGAGCAGUUGGGAAGUUUAAUUCGAAAGCAUCCAGAACUCAUAUUUGAGAAUUCAGGAUCCAAUGCCUUAUUGCUGAUUGGGGUCUUGACAAAAUUUGGAUUGAGACCAGAUGAGAUAUGCAGUACGUUCCUUCAGUUUCCACAAAUCCCAAUUGCAAAGUUUCUGGGGAAUUUAAAGCAUUGCUAUAAUUUUCUUGUUGAAAUUGAGAUGGCUAUGCUAGAUGUUGGGAGGAUAGUUUGUUCACAUACUAUAUUGCUAGGUUCAUGUACUAUAAAGAAACUUGAAACAUUGCUGACUGCUUUGAGAGUUACAAAGGAUCAGCUCUGUGAAAUCGUGAAGGAAAGUCCUGAAGCAAUGGAGAACUGGGUUGUUGGAAAGAAAAUUAAGCGACUCCCAAACCUGACAGCUGAGGAGGAAGAGCUAAGAUCACGGAGGAUGAAGACUGAAUUCUUAUUGGACCUUGGAUUUGUUGAAAACUCGGAGGAAAUGAAAAGAGCACUCAAGUUAUUUCGAGGGAAGGGACUGAAUCUUCAAGAGAGGUUUGAUUGUUUUGUAAAUGCUGGUUUUAGCAAAAAGGAUGUUGCUGAGAUGGUCAAAGAAUCUCCAAAUAUCCUUAAUCUGUCUAAGGAUGCCAUUGAGACAAAGAUUGAGUUUCUUGUAAACGAUUUGGGCUAUCCUGUGUCUAUUUUAAGAAAGUUUCCACCAUGCAUCUCCUACAAGAUAGAAAGGAUCAAACUUAGGCUUACAAUGUAUAAUUGGCUUAAGGACCAGGGUGCUGUGGAGCCCAAUCUCGCAUUAAGCACUGUGCUAGCAACUGCUGACAAGUUGUUCAUCAAGACAUACGUAGAGCAGCAUCCUGAAGGCCCUGCAGUUUAUGAAAGGCUAAAACAAACAAUAUGUUCACAUUAGACAUGGUCAUUUUUCUAUAAUUAGCUUGAGUUUUCUAUCCUUGCAACUGGGAUGUACAGACUGUUUGCCAGCUCAUCCUUGUGGAAUCAUCCUGCAUCAAAUUAAAUGCAAAGAUAUUGAAUGCCUCUAUUGAUCUUACAAAGCAUCAUUAUAUCAGCAACACAGGUUAGGAUUUGACAUCAGGUAAUUCCAGUUUUUAUUGAUUGUGCCCACCAAUUUUGCUUUAUUGACUGUUCUUUAAGUUGAGAACGAUAAGAAUUGGGCUUAAGUGGUUCCCUGGGACACUGCUGUGCCCCUAAAAGUUAUUUGUGGACUGCUUCAUGCCCUCCUUUGCCUGGGUCUUUAUGUGAGCAUCACACUAACGAAUGGGGAUAUAGUGGUUCCUGGAAGAAGAAUUUACCUGAUAGCCUUACAUACAUUUUUGGUUUGGCUUUGCUUCUUCCAUUAAUAUAUGUCUUUCCAUUUCUUGUGAAUUUGCUACUGAUAAUGUUAACCAAAUCCAAUUGCAUAUGCAUCAUGUAGAAGAAUAAUAUGAUGUGACGUUACUGGAGACUAACAUCACUGGAGUAGUUAAGGUGAAACAAGACAAAUAUCUUCGUGUCUGUUAAGCAUUCUAUAUGGAUAUUUCUUAGUAGGGCCGACAUGGCUUCUAAUGUUGAGAUAUUUUUCAUAAAGUGUGUCAGCUGGUUUUGCUUGUUUGGUCCUUAUGUUGAUGUUCAUUGUGAGUCUGCCGUUAUUAUUUUCUUGUCCUUGGAAAGGAUACACCAAUUGAGGAAGAAGUGAAACUGAUAAUGAAGUACUGUAGGUUGGGACUGUCUUGCAGAUAUGCCCAAUCUUCUGUCAGUUCGAAUGUGGUGGCAUUUCAUACAUGAUCUCUUUUGGGCUUUGAACAUUUAUCUUUUGUGCUGCAUUAAACAUGUAGAGGAAUCGUCCCUUCGACUGCCUUGAGGCAAUAAUGUUCUCAUAACAUGACAAAAUGCUUACCUUUAAAAGGCAAUUACUCUGGUUUGAUAAAAGAAAUUCUCAUAUGCCAUGUUGUUUUCAUGACAAAGUGUAAUUGUAAAAGGGUGAUUGCCUUGGUAUUUUAUAAACAAAAUGUUCACAUGCCAUGUUAUUUGUAAACUGCCUUCUUGACACCUUUGCUGUUAUGACCUGACAUGCUUAGAUUGACAAUCACAUGACCUCCUCUCUGGCCGAAAUCUUAAGAUAGAUGUGUAUCAAAUAGUUGUUUUUCGUGGAAGUAUGUAUGCCUCGUCAUCUUAUGCAUUGCUGCAGUGUUCAAAGAUGCCAUAUUUCUUUAUGUGAUGCAAUCGAGUGACAGGUUAUCAUUUGCUCAUAGUUUUUGUUAGCCAGCUGAAGAUUUGCAAAUUUCUUGGCGGUGUUUUGACAUUUUUAGACAUUUCCCUUGAAACCCAGCUUCUUUGUCAAAAAAUCUGCAGGAUAAUUACCUACGUAAAGGGGUGAAACAGAGUAACAUUGAAGCAGGGUUUGGCACAUUUGUGGGUAUGGAAGGGUGCAGUCGAAGUGCUUCUUUCCGUAUAGCCUGCAGGUAUAGAAGCUUCGGUAUAUCUGACUCGACAGUCUUUGAUUUCUACCAAUGACUCAAUCCAUCUCCUCUCGUGCUUGCUGGAGGAUGUUAGAAGUCUGCAGCAUCUCCGCGAGCGCCCACUCUAUAACUCUUGAAAACGUGUCCGUCCCAACAACAAACAGAUUCUAAUGGAAAGAUGUACACAUGAAAGCGAUUGGCGUUAACCAAAAAUUCACAGAAUUGAAAAUUCAUUACUAUAUAAAAAGUAUCAUGAGUUUUGGUACUUUGGGGUACCAAGUGUAAGCAUUCUUUUGGUAAUUUGGAAUACAAGUGUAAGCACUCUUAUGAUAUUAUUAGUUUUUGGUAUUUCAAUUAUGACUUUCUUAAUUUGUGGUUAAAGUUUCGUAUAAUUUUAAUUAUGGGUGGCUUAGAAGAAAAUAAUUGUUGAUUUUUAAGGUCAGUGUAUUGCAUCAUACUAUAUUGAUUUAGCAAGAGAAGUCUCCUUAAAAAUACAAAUAGUUAAAUGAUUUAAGAAACAUAAUGAUUUCAUAAACAUUUCUUGGAUGAGUUAUAUAAGUUGUACACAUUCAAUUUAGAAGGAGAAGAAUUUUCGCAUCGCACAAAUGGAAUUUCAAUAUACAAAAAAUUAUGACACCUUUAUAACGAAAAUAGUAAUAUCAAACAGGAAAAAAAUAAAAUCGGAAAUAGCACUAUACAAACCAUUAUGACCGUUAAUAGCAACCCUUCAAAAUAAGGAAAUUUUAAAAAAAAAUUGAAAACUAUUCAUAAAAUGACAUAAAGUGUAUAGCAAAUGAAUUUAAAAGUUAAAAAUAUAAUUCAAAUAAUAUCAAAGACAAUAUUCAAAUCAUUGAUAUUCAGAUGAAGACAAACAUUGUUAUUGGGAACAAUAUAGUAAUGCUUCAUUUGUAUUAAUUUAAGCAAACUAAAUCCAUCCAUCAAGGCAAAAGCCAUCUCCAAUGAUAAAAUAAGGAUUAUUAUAAAAGUAGACUUAAAAUGAAGAAUCAUAUCCAAAUUAUUUUCAUUGAUACCCAAAAUACCCUUAUUUUUUCUAAUGAUUACAUAUAUUUAUUGUAUUUGUAAUAUUAGUGAAUAAUGGUAGCAGUUAUGAAAUGGAAAGCUUUAAAAUUAAGUAAAUUUCAUUUAUGAUGACAAUUGUAAUUAGACAGAUUUAAUGCAUUCUAGUAUUUGACAAUAAUGGUAGUGGUUAUAGGUAAAAAGUUAACAAUUGAAAAAAUUAAAAUACUGCAAUAUACUAAAAAUUAAUAUUAAAAUUGUUAAUUAGCCACAAUUCUCAUUCCAAUUUCAUGACCAUCAAAUACACUGAUACUAAAACCAAAAAUAUUGUACUCAUAUGAAAAAAGUAGACCUAUUGCUUUUGCUUUGAAUUGGAUUGCGCAAAAAAUAUAUGAAUAAAAGAAAAGGAAAAUGGAAAAACCACAACUAUCUCUAUCUAUGAAAUUUCAAUUGUGAUAAUGUACAAGUCAAAAAAAAAAAAACUUUACGUGGUGGAUUAUUUAUACUCCAUUAUCGACAAAAAUAACAAUAAAAAGAAUACAAAGAAUUCAAAUUACAUGUAUGUUUAUUUUUCUAGCUUAAUUCUAUUCUUCAUUUAUAAAAAAAAUUGUAAUGAUUUUGAUUUAUAAGUAAUAAAAUCAUGAAUAUACAAUAAUUUUGGUAAAACAUGAUAUUAUCAAUAUUUGAUAUGUUAUAGUUCAAGCUAUAAAUAAAAAAAAAAUGUUUGGUUCAUGAUUCCAAAUUCAAUCCUACGAGACAUGUUAACUACAUUGAAAUGUUUUCUGUGUCUUUCCAUUCAAUAAAAUUUUUAAAAGUAGCUAGUUUAAGAAAAUAAAUAACAUAAAAAAUACUAUAUUAUAAUGUUGAUGAUCAAAAUUUUACAAAAAAAAAAAAAAUUAGUAUCUAAGGAAUAAUAUAUUUUAGAAUAUUAUAAUCACGUGCUUAAACUAUUCCUAGUAUUGGAAAAAAAUUUGGAUGUCAAAUGAUCAUGCGUCUUCCCUUGCAAUGUACAACCAUCUGAUUUGGUGCGGCAACAAUGGACAGACGGAGCUUCAGUAAACAGUAAAUGAGUGUGGUUCAUGUUGAGUCCUACUUAUGAAAUUGAAUCUUCACAAUUAGGCAGACACAAUCCUGACAAGUAUACAAAAUUGAUGGGCACCUCUAUUCACCCAGUAUAAAUAGGUAAUAAGAAAUCAUCACAACUCUCCUUAACCGAGUUUCCUAACACCUCAGAAGCUAAUUUAGGUAUCGAAGUAACACUUCAAAAGUUAAAUUUAGAUAUCGGAGUCACACUUUGACACCGGAGGGAAAGCCUCGUUCCUCUUUGUGCCUUCCUUCUUCUUGUGCUUCUGGGAUUUUGAACCAAAAUUGCCAAGCUCCCAAGUUUCAUCCAGAACCAUACUUCAAAAUAAAAAUCUCCUUUAGACUUCUAGCGAGUACACGAGUAAUCUCAAAACAAGGAAGCUGGAAACAAGCUGGAUAAAAAUGACAAGCACCUAAACAUAUCUCAAACACGCAAUCGUACAUAGAGACACGGACACAAGUGGGCUAGAAGGUAGUCUGUGUGAGUUAUAGCAUUAAUUUGUUGCGUUCUUUUUUCCCUGUAUAUCCAUCCAUAUACAUGCAUACAUUUCUCCACCAACAGGCAACAGAUUGAUUGUUUGAAAUUCUUGGACACGGGCAAAGGAGCUUAAGCUGAAUAAGAAUUUAGAGCCAGUCUUGGACUAACCUUGGCUUUAAGAGGCACAGCCAAACCAAAACUUUCCUCCAUGUUGAACUCAAUCACUUCGGCAGGCAGUUUCCAAUCGAAUGAGUGCACCAACGUCCCUAGUACGUAUUCCACUAGCACUACGCCCAUUCUAGCUCCAGCACAAAGUCUCCUCCAGGCCCCAAAUGGAAUCAACUCGAAAUCAUUUCCUUGGGGAUCAAGUUUUGCAUGUUUUCCGCUGAGAAACCUAUCAGGGUCGAAACCUAGCGGAUUUUCCCACACAUCAGGAUCUCUUCCAAUUGCCCAACUAUUCACACUGAGUCUAGUGUUUUUGGGUAUGUAGUACCCAUUUACUUCACAUGCUUGAGAUGCAAUUCGAGGAAGAUUUAGCGGUGUAGAAGGGUGCUUCCAAAAUGCUUCUUUGCAUAUAGCUUGGAGGUAUCGAAGCUUAGGCAUAUCCGACGUCGGUUUCUCCCAGUGACUCUAUCCAUCUCCUCUUGUGCUCGCUUCAAAAAUGCUGGGAUUCUUCAGCAUCUCCACAAGCGCCCACUCGAUAGCGCUGGAAGGUGUGUCCGUGCCUGCAGUGAACAAGUUCUUGUGGAAAGAACAAAGCAUGGAAUCAGCAAAAGUCGACAUACAUAAUUGAAAUAUCACAGUUGGACCACAUAGUAUGUAACUAAGUUCGUGCUUAAUUAGCAAAAAGUGUACAUCAUCCAUCAUGUGCAUGAAUAACACAGAGACUAAAUUGGGGAUUGGGGAAAGAUAAACAAAGGAUAAUCAUCAUACACACAAAGCGGGGAAAAUAUAUACACAUGAGGAAGCAUUAGAGACAAGAUUUUGCAUAUUAUCAUAAAUUACAAGCUAGCUAUAGAGGUGUCAAAAUGGGUGAUUUGGGCGGGUUUGGGUUGGGUAAAAUGGGUAAUGGGUAUAAGUAAGUUAGGGAUGUAAUCGAACCGAGCUGCUCGCGAGUGGUCAAAAACUUGACUCGAACUCGGGUUGACCGAGUUCGAGUCAAGUUCGAGCGCCUCGAUAUGCUAAACGAGUCGAGUUCGAGCAUCUAGAAGCAUUGCUCGAAGGCUCGUCGAGUUUUAUCGAGCUUUUUAAUUUUAAUUAUUUAAUAUAUUAUUGUUAUAAAAUUACCCUUAUACCCAAAAGAGUUGUUGAAUUUACGAAAUGUUUCAAGUCAUAUAAAAAAUUUUAAAGGACAAUAAUGUCUUUUCGCUCAAAAAUUAUCAAGAAAAUGAAAAUUUCUAACUCGAGCUCGAUCGAGCUUGAUAAGGCUCGUAUUGACUCGAGCUCAUGCGAGUCGAACUCGAGUUUUGCGAGCAAGCAUCGAGCUCGAGCUCGAGCUCCAAUAAUACUACUUACUCGAGCUCGAGCACCCGUCUUGCAUGUCGAGUCGAGCUUGAGUAUGGCAAUACUCGGGCUCGACUCGACUCGAUUACAUCCCUAGAGUCAACCCAUUUAUACCCAUCUAAUUAGAUGGGUAUAAAUGGGUAAGUCAAAAAAUGAAUUGGGUAAUCCAAUUAUCCAUUUAUUUUAACUUUUUGUAAACUCAUUUAAAUUCAUUUUUACAAACUAAGUUAUCAAUUUAUACCACUCAUUGCACCCAUCAUUAGUUUUAAAUAUUUACUUAUAAUGUUCAAUAAGUCUAAUUAUCAAUUUUUUUCCUAUCUGUACUCUAUGUCGCAAAAUUACAUACUAUUUAAUAAUUGAAUAAUAAGAAUAUAAAAAUUUAAAUUAAGUACUAUAAAAAUUAACAUAAAAACUUAAUCCAAAAAUUUUGAACCCCUAAUAUUUUUUUCAUGCGUAAAUUUAAAUUUUCAUUUUGGAAUUGUAGGAAAAGAGGCUAAAACUUAUCAUAAAUUGGUAAUGCUAAAAAAUGAGUAAGUUAACAAAUUAAAAGAAAAUAAAAUGAUAAAAUAAAACCAAUAAAUAACAAUAAUAAUGAAACAAAAGUAGUUAACAUCAUAACAAAGUGAAAAAUCUGAAAAAAAAAAAAGGGUGGGGGAAGAGAGGAGAUUUGGGGAAAAACAAUUCUAAAUGGGUUAAUUUGGUUUGAUAGGUUACCCAAUAAUACCCAUUUAUUAAAUGGGUAUUAUUGGAUAACCCAUUUAUACCCAUAUACAAAAACUUAAGAUACCCAUACUCUCAUAUGCGGAUAUGGGUAAAUUUAAUUAAAUGGGUUGAUUUGGCACCUAUAGCUAGCUAGUACAAUAUAGGAAGCGGUCACCAUAGUUUGUAGACACAUUAAAGAUUUUAUGAGACAACUGCAAUAUGCGACUAUGACUAUAAAAGAACAGCACAAAAUGAUGAUACUAAAUACCUGAAUCUUAAAAUUUUUUAUUGCAAUUGAUUAACAACAUUCUACCUUCAAAGGAACUACCCUCACCAACAACUCUUGUUGUCAUAACUCAACAUAAAUCUCUUAUCUUUUAUUUGUUUGAUGGAGAAUUCACCUGGUUUAGUGACUACUAAUUUACUGCACGUACCUAUGCUUGGACCGCUAAAGCUAGAUUUUCUUGUUUUGGAUAGAGGAAAAGUAAAACACUCAAAUAUUCGGGCUUAUAGCUGUUGCAUUCAAGCAAAUUUUAGCUCCAUGCUCCUUCUUUCUUUGUUGAUGUGGAUAUUUCCACAGACAUCAGCAGGGUCCAGCCUCGGAAAUACAUAAUAAGUCCAUAUUAGUGUUUCGCAAUUUGUGUAGGUGCAUGUGGCAAUGGCAGUACAGAAAGAGAGUUGAGGAAAGGGCCGGUUGAAGAAGAUAAGGGCAAAUGCUAUAGAAGAAGGGAUUUUUGCGCGUUUUUUAUUUCUGAUUUUGUUCGCACCAGCGCUUUUCCACUAGAGCGAAUUCAUUUCCUUGAUUAGUUUUGACCAGAAACUCUUUUUUCUUUUUCUUUUUUUUUGUUUGGGGGAAAUUUGACCAGAAACUUACUAGAGUGAAAGUUUCUGUAGCAGCAACACCCUCGAUAAGGUUGACCAAAAACCAAAGCUCAUAUAAGUUAUCAUUUCACCCCAAGAAGUCGUCUCUUGUUAUUAGUCAAGUUCUAUCAAAAUUUGAGAUAAACUAAGCUCUUAGGGCUUUUCCUUAUGAUCCGUUGCCUAAUCUCACUAGCUAUGUAACCUAAACAAGCUUUUACAGCUUCAACAGUUGAAAUCGUGACGACUAAAUGUUUAUUAUUGGGUACAAACUUUUUGCUUUAACCAGGAUUAAUAUAUACUUAGGAAAAAGGGCUGGCUUCGUGAUUUUCUUUGAACCAUUCAAAAAUUAAUGGCCAAUAUCCCACCAAUGAAACCAGAAACAUAAAAUCAAAGAAAAAAAAAUGGUAGCAGUCAGUAGACAAACAGAUCAAAAACACUCGAGCGAAAAAGAAACCGCUCGAUCAAAAAGGGCUGCCCGAAAUCACGUAGUUAGGCAAGUUUGUCUUCUUCCACAUAUUAUCCAAAGUAACAGCUCGAUUUCCAGCUGGUUUCUGCAAAACUAUGCACGCCUCUGGUAGUCUUGUGCAUCGAGAAUGGUUUGCUGGUUUUAACGCGAUUUAGCCAGUCAACCUUUGUGUUCAAUAGAAUACGCCUUUUCUUGAAGACUUUUUGCAUCCAAGUUCUGCUGGCUUCUGCCUUUUCUCAAGUAGGAAUUUUUUUUUUAUUUUUUGUGGUGAAAAACAAUUUGGGAAAAUCGUAACCGAUGCUUUGCUGAUAAACCUAAUGGCCGACUUUUCUGGGCGUUGCUUGACUUUUACGUAUCAUUGGGGCAAGAUAAACUGCGUGCGUGGUAAGAAAAAUGAUGUCCUAAUCAUUUUCAUGUCUAGCUAGUCGCUUCCGAUCCAAUCCAAGAAUAAAUACUUUUACUGCCAUCAUCUACUUAGAUCCUGUGCACACAAGGAAAUGGCUUCCUCGUCCCUUGUUAUCCGUCGUUUGUAUCCAGCUGACAAGGUAUUGAAGCAUAAUUAUUCAUGGAUAAAUAUUUAUACAACAGAUAAAGGGACACUAUCAGUGUGUGAUGUAAACACACAGUAUCAUUUUUUUUAACUUUCAUUUAUUACCCCAAUCUUAAGGGUAAAAUUGUCCCAAAUAGAUUAAAAAUAUUUUUUUUCUGUUUUUUUUUAAUAAUGUAAGUAAGAGAUUUCGAAAUCGGACCUCUUAUUUACAUUCUUAUUCCCCUCUUCAAUUUAGUAAGUUGUACAAUGAUUCAUCAUCAACUAUGACUCCGGAUUCAUUACCUUUGGAAGAUAAUUUUUUAAUCAUGGCACAUAUAAGUGUCAAUCACUAGUUGUAAAUAGCAUUAAUUUUUCCUGUGUCAUAAGUGUAAAAUUAUUUUAUACUAGCAAUUACUCAUGCAUGACAAAUAAUUUCCAUUCAAAAUUUGAAUAAAGCAUGUUUAGUAUGCAUCUAAACCCUCUCGUAUAAGAAAAAAAAAUCUACAUGGCACAAAUAUGAGAAAGAUUAAAUCCAAUUAGGCAUUAUAGUGUAGUACUUUAAGGUACAAUCAUGCUCUCCAUGUUCAAUAAUGCAAUUAAAGAAGGAAAGUAAAAUACAAAAUGCAAUCAAACAUAAUGCAUUUGUUAGUAUUAAUUUCAAGAAACAUAUCAGAUGAGAUUUUACAACUUCAACCCAAAAAAAAAAAAUUUUUUUUUCCCAACCAAUCUGUUUGGAUUGUGAAUUAUUAGAGAUAUUUUCACUGUAACACUUUUUGUGAUGUGAUGCAUGUGAGAUAAAAAAGUAAUUGAGAAGGUAAAAAGAUGUAUUGAAAAUUAUAAUAAUGAUGUAAACAAAUAAAUUUGGAAAAAUAAAACCCAAUCCAAACAAACCUGCUAGCAUACAAGUUCAACCAAUUGGCGUAGGAAACACUGGACUCUCGCCAUAUCGGGCUCCAUUAACGAGGCCCCAGUGAGAACAUUUGGACUGUAGGGUAUUUGCCAGUUACGGACCCAAUCGUAGUCAACCAAACCCUAAGCCAAUAAGAUGUUAGGCUUUGAGCAACUAGACAGGGUCCAGUCAUCACAGCAGAGUUUGAGCAAUCCAGCUAAACUUGUGGUCCCCAGCCUGAUCAGACACAGACUGCCCAACCAUGCAGGGGCCUUCUCGUCAAUUUACUUUGGAAAGUAUCAAGUUCUUGUGGUAACAAAUAUUCAAAGGGUAAGAACAAAAGUGAAAGGAUGAUGAGGGAAGCUUGAAUUUCAAAAAUUUGACUACCAAGAAAGGAAUAUUACUGUUAUAAAAUAAUAAUAAUAAUAAAGAAAGAAAGGAAUAUUACUGUUCAUCACUACUCCCCCGUGAUGAGUAAUAUCAGGCGUAUAGCCAAGUUACAUAAUGAGUUACGAACUAUUUUUUUGUUAUAUUUAAAUAUUUCUUGACUCCAGGUAUGUAGCUUCAAUUAGGCUCAAGGAUCCUAUCUGCAACCAUUUGGGAUGGGAUUUAUGUUGAUUUGGCAAAAUUUGUUUCUAAUUUGAAAUUUUACACUUGAGUGGCAUGAUUGACACUCUUGAUUAGGCCUUGCUUGGAUUGCGAUUUUCUGUCGAAAAAUUACGUCAUUUUUCGUGAUCACAUUUCCCUAUUACCUUUUUUCCUCACAUACAUCAAAUCGCUACAGUAAUUUUCCCAUGAAAAAUGCAAUCAAAACACAACCAACGGUGAGUUUCACAAAACAAUGAGUAAAUCUUAUAUACAUUGACGGUAUAUACACUAUUACGGUUAGAUAUAUAACACAUAUACAAAAUUUGAAUUUCAAAUUCAAAUUCAAAUUAUGUGUCAUACAUCUAAUGAUAAAAGUGUAUACACUGUCAGUGUAUAUAAAAUUAAUCCCAAAACAGUACUAUCAGGAAUUUGCACAUAAACGUUUACAACAAUAGUUAUUACUGCAAAUGCAUUUCUUAUACUAAAUUCAAGAACAAUUUUCUUUUUUUUUUUUACGGUAACUAUAAUAUUUCUAUAACCUAAUCUAUUAUAAUUUACAGAAAGGGAAGCCUAAAGAGACUAUGUAUAAGAAGCUAGUAAAUAUAAAAAUCUGACCAGAUCAAAAGGAUGUUUUGACAGUUCUUUUGAAUUUUUUUCAGUGUAAGUGCAAUUCAACUCCCACCUAUAGUCCACAGAGUAACUUGGCCCCAGUUUUUUGUCUCAAUGGUUCAAGAACAAUUGUCAUUUAUAAUUGUUCUUGCUUUUGCCUCUCUUCCCUUCAAUUCAUGAGCAGACUUCUAAAUAAAUAAGGGCUGCUUUGACUCAUUUGGAGUUACACCCUAAGCUGGUGAAAUCUUUCUCUUUGAAAAAUUGAAACCCUCAUAAGUGACUGUCAUCUGGCGAAGGAUGUGGUUAUUUUUUUUAUAUACAAAUUGAACUGCCCAUCUACAAUUUCUAAUUGCGAAAUGUAGGGGGGAAUAAAGAGAAAUGAAAGAUAGAGUUGUCUAAUAUUUGUUUGAAUUAUCCUCCUUUUUUGUCGACACUUAAGGAGUUUUGGUUGAAAUGAAAGUGCUACAAUAUUAUUAUUUUUUUAUUCUCUCAGUCAUUCUUUUUAUCAUCAUACAUUAUAUCACAAAAAAUCCUACACUAUUAUUCUCACAAAAUUUUUUUAAUUAACUUCCAAUCCAAAAUUCCAACCGCAGAAAUAUAUGUUUCACCAAGGAUCCAAAACAGUUAUGUUGAAAAUGCUACGAGGAAAUGGAGUCCAAAUUGAAAUAAAUUGUUAUGCUUUAAUCGAGGGACUCAAAUUGUAUUGACUUUAUCCAAAAAAAAAAAGAUAAAAAAUUGAAGAAUUAAAAAAAAAUUAGCAUGAGCAUUCAUUUGGAGAAAUACUACUUGUUAAGAAUGCAAAAUAUGAGUAAACUUAUGAAUUGCAUUCCAGGUUAAUAAAACACAUUGACAGUAAAAAGUUUUUCAAGUGAAAAUUUAGGCUGAUUUUACCUUAAAAAACCAAAAAAAAAGGAAAAAAAAAACAGGCUGAUUUAAUGAAUUUUACCAAAGAUGCAAAAGAGAGUGGGGCCACAUCAAGAUUGUUCUAUUGUACAUCCCUAAAUGGGCACGUGAUCUCAGUCAAUGACCCAGGCGACAACCAGUGAUUCUCCCCUGCUGAGUGCUGACCCCAAAAUCACAUGAAUUAAUAUUAUAAAAAAAAGAAAAUUAAGAAAUGUGCCAAGAAACUUCUUUAGGUAAAAUUUUCAUUAUGUGAAAAUUUUUGUAGCAAGUGAAAGUGGUCUGUAUUUAUCUUGAAAACUCCUCCAUUUUGCUUUUGGAUUAAUACACGGAUUAAGUGGGAAUAAGUGAGGAGGUUUAUUCGUUUUUCCCGUACAGCAAAGCCUUUUUUAGUGUGUUCUCAUCAAGAAAACUUGAAUGGUUAAAUACACCUAGAAAAUUAACUAGUAGAAGAAAUAGAAAAUCCUUAAUCAUUACUUUAAUUGCAUCAAUGGUCUGAAAACCGACCUUUUUACUUUGGUACACUAAUGUUCAUGGUUUGGGGGUCACUGAUCACAUUUAUGAUUUACUUUUACCGUGGUCAUGGUUUCGGUACACUAAUGUUAAUGUUUGAAUAGAAGAUUAUUUGAAAUAAUUAUUGUAACACAUUUUAGGAUGCGAUGUAUGUGAAAUAAAAAUAUUAUUAGAAAGAUAAAAAGUUAUUCGAAUUUUUUAAAAAGAAUUUUAUAAUUUUGUGAAUAUAUUUUUCAAUCAUCUUUUUGUUUCAUAUACAUAAAAUCGUUAUAGUAUAUUUUUCUAUAAAAAUUUUAUAUAAAAACAAUCCAAAUGGGAUAUAUAAUAAUAGUUCUUAAAAUAACAAAACAUCUUUUAGCAGGCUGUAGAAGUAAAAAUUUAACACCUUUUUCUUUUGGCACACAAGAGGUGACUUUCUGAACCAGUGUCACAUUGAUCAUUGAUGUCAAGCUCAAGCACCAUGCCUUUUCCUUUCUUUUUCCUCUUUCCCUCUUUUAUUUCUGCCAGAUAUAUGCUUUCAUUUUUUGUUUUUCUCGUUUUUUCCCCCUCAAUCAGUUGUGUGUUAUUUUACCUUCAUCAAUACCUCUACCAUAAUUUUCCCAAACAGCCCAUAAGAAUCCCCUAAAUGCUAAAUAUCCUUACCCCACUUGCAACUAUACUAGUAGUAGUAUCCCACAUCCAUAUUUUUCUUCUCUUCUCCUCUUCACUUCACUUGUUUUUUGUUUGCAGUCUUCUCUACCUUUGCCUCCCUCCUCUGCCUCACAGCUUCUUUCCCUUGCCUGAACUUCUUAACCUCAAAUGGUGAGGAUUAUUAACCUCAUCAAAUCUCAAUCCAGUUCUUGAAUCAUUCCUCACUUUUGAUUGUUUUUUAUCUGGGCUUUUACUAUUUCUCUGUCAGAUCAAAGCCUUUUCAUUUUCUUAUCACUUGAACAAUUUCUUGUUGCUUCUUUACUUUGUUUACUUUUGCACAUAGGAAAACCCAUCUCGAUUUUGGUUUUCUUUGAUUGGAAUUUUUAUAAAGAUGUGCUGAAAAGAGGUUUUUGGUUGAAGAUGCAAAUGGUGGCUGUUUCCGUUUCUUAUGAGGUCUGCUUCAGUUGGUAUGUUUCAUUCUGUAUGAAAGGUUGUGCAAUGGAUUUAUUGGAAAGAUUUGAUCUUUUUCAGUUUGUUUGGGUGGUCUGUUUUGAGCUUCAAAGAUUCCAUUUUGAUUGUUUUCAAGCAUGUUUAAGUAAAGCAGUCUUAAGUUCUUUUGUUGUAUGGUUGCUAUGCAGACUUUGUUUUUCUCAGUAUAUGGUUUCAAUCAUAGGAUAAUCUGCUUUUUGUCUUGGAUGUUAUUGUUGUAUUGGAUUGAUUAUGUAGUGAUUUUCUUGGAACUGCCAUUGGCUUGUUUUCUUUAGGCUCUGAAGUUUCGGUUUUACAGCUUUGCUUAUUAGUUAGGCGCUAUUUUAUAACAUCCGAAUACACAUGAUGCUUUUACACUAAUUAGUCAAAGUUCCAACCUUUAUGUGUUUCCUGGGCAUGAGAGCAAAUAUGGAUUUGUAUGCUUGCCAGGAAACAGAGCUUUUUGGGUUUUCUUAUAGUCGUUUGCUUAUUGGUGAAUCUGAGGAGAUAUCCGUUUCCAAGAUUUAUUUUUGGUUCGUUUUCUAGUGUGUGGUUAUAUUUGUUGAGUUAUUGUGAUUGAUCCUUCUCAGUAUUUAAAGUUUCAAUAGAAAGUCGUGAAAUUUGUUGAGUUGUUUGAAGUUAUCUGAUUUUCUUUUUCCGGGCAGGUUCUUCUGCAGAGAUAAUUAAUUUUUGCCCAAGUUUUUUUUUGCUUUCUCUGAAAAAUGGGUAGAGGGAGAGGAAAGGGUAAGAAACAAUUGAGUACUGCUGCUCGUGAAGAUGCCGGAAGUGGUGAGGAGGAGAAAUUACCGGUGAGGAGAAGGGGAAGGCCACAGAAACCACUGAAGGAUGACAUUGAGGAAGAUGAAGAUGUUGAGAAGAUAGAAGAAGAAGAAGAAGACAGUGAAAGUGCAAAGAGCUCUGUUUUAAAUAAAGAUAGCAAGAAUCAACCCACUGUUGAGAAUGGCCGGAAGAGGAAAAGGGCUUCGCAAGUCAAGGAAAACUUAGAUUCUAUCAAAGAGGAAAAUGGUGUGGGAAACAAGACUAACACUAAUGAAGCAGUGAAGUCUGUUGGAUUCAGACAGAACGGCAGCAGAAGAAAGAACAAGCCUCGUCGGGCUGCUGAAGUUGGUGUGGAGUGCAGAUGAAUUUUGUGCUCAUUAUUGGAGAGCACAAAAAUUUGGCUUUCCAUUUUAUUUUGCCAUUUGUCGUAUUUUGUUGUGUUUGAUAGUCUCAACUGAAAAUUUUAUUAUCAAUCAAUAUUCUGUGAUGAUAUCAAGAAGCCUUUGGUUUUACCAAUUACCAGAUCAUCAUGUCAGAUAUGUUGUCUAAUCUUUUCCUUUUGCACUUGAAGUCUGAAGCAAGCUGAAUCCAACGUAGGUGUAAGUUCUUCUGCGAUGGCAUUUUGUUUUGGCAUGGUUUAAGUAGCUUCUUUUGGUUUAGCAUCCCUUGUAUAAUCUUCUUGAAGCCUGCUCAUUGCUUUGCUUGACACGUUUGUGUACAGCAAUGAAGCACGUAUGAAAAAAUUCCAGGUGGUUGGCUAUUAAAAAAAAAAAAAGGAAGAUUAUUGCCAUAGGUUCAGGUGCAAACGACUCUACGAGUGCAGAGAUUCUCCUGCCUGGAGAUAUCAGGUAAAGUACAAGAAGAUCUUUGCUCUUUCUGGCCAAUAUUUCUGUUUCAAAAUUGACUAAACUGCAGAAGAACUUGGGAGAUUUGCCCCAGUGGAGAUUUCAGGUAACAUACAAGUGUUCUUCUUGUUUGUUACUUCAGAUAACUUAAUUGCAAGGCUCACUUUAGCUGUUUGAUUUAGAAACCUUGAGGUUCUUUGGCUUUUUUGAUAUAUGAAUUUUUGACCUUUCAUGAUGUCAGUGACACAGUCUGUACAGUCACCGAUGCUUGCUUGUGAUAUAGGAAAAGAAAUUAUUUUGAAGCUUGGUCUUCCUACAGUGCAAAUUGUUCAAUCAUAUAGUUUGUGCUGGGACAUUUUGCAUGAAAUGAGAUGGUACAAAAUAAAGGCUUGGGGAAAAUGGAUGAAGUUCUAUUUGCAUCUUCUCUCUGGAUUUUUUUGGCUGCAUUGAUGUUUUUGGCUAAUAUUGUACAGGUACUAAGUUCUACACAUGAAACAUUGUGAAAAGAUUGGUUUUCUCUCAUUGAACAAUUUGAAUCUGUUUUCACGUAUGCAGACAUGUCUAGAUAGAUGCACAUGCGUGCGGAACCAUUGUGCCUCGUAUUCUUUUCUUGCUGCAGUUUGUUACAGCAAAUGAAGGAUAUUAAGGUACUUCACUGCUUUGCAAAAGUUUGCAGAUGGAUUUAUUAGUUAUUAGUGGGAUGAUAAUCAGUAUUCUGAUCUAUUGAGGAAUCGUUUCUUGCAUCUGUUUCAACCACAAAUCUGUUGCAUGAGGAAUUGGCAUGCUAGAGUUUCUAUUACAAACCUGCAUAAUUGGUCAAGGUGAAAGGAAGAUUUCGGGAUACAUGGUUCAGUUACUCAGCUAUUGGCAACAAAACUAAGCACAAGCAGACUAAAUUUCUCAUGAAUUGUACUUGUAAUUCUUGUCGAAUGGAGUUGAUUGUCAAGUCCCCAUGGCCAAAUUUCAUUUCAUCUGAGUGCCUUCCAAUCUAUAGGCAUUUAACUCUCCCUCCUGUUUAAUUUUCAAGUACAGAUCAUCUUGCAAAAAUUGAGCCUAAAUGUUCAACCUAUUCUGACAAUCCUAUCAAUAAAGUUGCUGGGAUAUGAAUUGAUGGGAGGGGUCAAAAGGCGGAGUUCUGUUUUCGUUUGUUUUGGUUUAGUGAGCAGUUGGGCCUUCCGAAUGACCAGAACGUCAAAAGGCCUCAUUGUCUUUUGUACUUUUUUGGGGAUUAGCAUCAAUCAUUGGGGGCCUUUAACUCUUUUACUUAACAAUUUCACCAAAGGAACUUGACUAUGAUACCCACCCAUUAUUGUCUUUUUCCUUUUUCUUUAUUUUUUUUUUUGAAAAAAUAAAUCCCUGGAGACUUCGUUUGGGCAUCUGCUAGUUAGCAAAAUUCAGAAAAGAAGAAAUUUGCACCUAAAAAAAUAAUAAUAAUAAGCAAUGCUAAAUAGACAUUGGUGGUUGCCAAGUUGGGAUGCAUAAGCAAGUUGGUCCGGUCCCUUGUAAGUUUUCAAGGAUUAGGUGACCAGGAGAAGGGGUUCUUGGCAACCAUAAUCUUUGGUAAAUAAGGAAAUGUAGUAAGAGUGUGGAAGUAGGAUUGUGGACCAGAGAAAAGUAAAACACUAAAUUUAGACUUGUGGCUAGCCAGGGCAGGCAUCUGGAAGUUGGUUUUUCCAGCAAAACAGAUAACUGCAGUAAGAAAUUGGAAACAAUAAUUAUUUUGAUGACUACAUUGUCUAAAUUAAAAAAGGUCGAAUCAUUUCUUCCCCAAAAAGAGAAGUCUAUGUUUGAUAGAAAAUAAAUCCAAUACUUUUGUUGGAUUGUUGAUCACAAUGUUUUUUUUUUUUUUUAUGGAGAAGACAAUCCUAUGUAAUUUAAAAAGGAAGUGUAGACGAAGGAAUGGACAUUUUAAAAUUGAAAGGGGGCAAAGUGAUUAAGGAAUGAAGUUUACAAAAUUGAGGUGACAGGGGGGCGAAUAAGAUACAAAAUUGAAAAUAUUCUUUAAUAUCAAGCCUAUUGUGCAAUUUUCAAAACUUUAGGGAGGAGUGGGCAAUUGCCUACCUACCCUCAUAUGUGUGCAUACCUCCGCCUAUAUUCAAAGUGCUGACAAUAUGAUUAACAUUGGUUUUGAAAUUUAAGCUCUUUUUACACAAUUUAUGAGUUCAAAAAAAAAAUUUGUGAUUAGUUUACCCAAAUCAUUUAGAGUCCACAAAAAGGUGCUGAAAAAUUGACCAAACAAGGAAUCACAAAAUCAAAAAAAAAAAAAAGAAAAAGAAAAAACGCACGCGGUUUUAUGCACGGAAUUCAAUUAUUCACCGUGUUGCAACCUAGACUUUGGUUGAGGGGGUUAACAUUUCCCGACGCCUGUGUGGUCAUUUUUGUUCCUUCCGUUCCGUUGUUACUAUUUGCUUUCUUGGGAAUUGGAGGUGGUGUUUCUGAAUAUGAAAUAGCUUUUAUUGAAUUUGGAAAUAAGAAAAAAUGUUUCCAAAAAAAAGACUUUUUCUUUUCUAAAUUUUUUUCUCUCACGCUCCUCUCCACACCCUUCCUCCCAAGAACUAGAAGGAAGAUUUGAAUCCUGAAUUCGACCGCGACAAAAAGUCUAAGAGCUCUCUCCUUAUAGAUGCGAUAUUAGAUUGACUAAAAUUUUAAAGUCUCAUUAGAUUUAUAUAUGCAAAUUUGAAAAAAAAAAUUAUGUUAUAUAUCAUGGUUGUUUUGUAUAUAUAACAUCAUGCUUACUCAAAUUGUAAGUUUUACCAAUAAUUGAAGUAUUAUUCGUGAAGUAUAAUAGCAAAAAGGUUAUUACGUGUUUUGUAUGAUUAGCAAAAAAGUACGAAUAUCUUUCAAGGAUUAAUUUUUUAUCCACUGAAAAUGUAAUGAUUUUUUUUAUACUAACAACUUCGGAUGUAUAUCAUACGUGCAUGAUUUGAAUUCUAAAUUUGAAUUCUUGUUAUAUGACAAAUGUAUUUUAGAGUAUUUUAUAUGAAAUACAAAAAAAAAAAUUUAAUUAUGCAUGGGAACGUAUAUUAAACGUGCGUAAUACAAAUUUGUUACUAACUGUGCUAUCUAGGGCAUCCACGUGAUGGAUUUAAAGCCGUUGUUGUAGAAAAAAAGUGCGAAAAAAAUUCUUUAAUUAAAAAUACAAUGUGCAUUGAAUUACAGUACAACUCUUAUUAGACAAAUUACACCGAGAAACAUGCAAAACUAUAAGCUGAGUGAAAAUCAUAGUUAUGAGACACAUAAUUAAUACAAGUCCAAGUAUAGUAACUGGAGACUCGACUUUUGACCCAAAAAAAAAAAAAAAUGAUCGUACACCAAGACACAUAAUUAAUACAAGUCCAACUUGGCUCGACUUUAUCGUACUAAAAUGGCAAAUGUUUGAUAGUAUCACAUUCCAGCAGUGAAUAAAUCUUGCUCGUCAAAUUGAUCCUAACUGCACAAGUGAAAUCAAUUAGGAUCAGUUUUAAGUACUAUAUAAGGCUUAAUGAGUCAAAUAAAUGUUCCUAAAAUCGAGACGCUAAACAAAAUGAAAUUCGUCAGAGGUACGGUUGAAUAUAAGCAUGGUGUGGUUGAAUAUAAGGGUCCAUAUAUAUGUUGAAGAAGAGUAAAUGAAGUCAUCAUGGGUUGAACGAUAAACUGAAGUAAAAUUCAAGAAAGAAACUAUAAUUGUUUAAGGAUAAAUUAAAGUAAAAUUCCAGAAUGAAACUAGAAGUGUUGACAAGAGAGACAUACCUGAUCAACCAUGCUUGGUCCGAUGAAACAUUACGGACAUUAAUAGAGGGUAUAUGGGAGACUUUGUCAAAAUCCUGUCCCUGAUCUUCAUGACCAUUUGUUGCUUGGAUCCUAUCUGUGAAUUUCUUUGGCAUCCGCACAAUGUUCAACUCUUUCAGAGUUGUAACGAAUUUCAAUCCACUGGGAACCAUCUCCAGAUUUAGGCAAUAUACAAUCGUCAAGACCGAAAGGUUGGGCAUGGCUCCUUCAUCAACAUUCCACUUCUCUAAGUUCGGUAGACGCUCAAAACGAAGAAAUCUAAGUUGGCCAAAACCCGUUGCCUUGCACCUCAUCUCUUUGCCGAGAAAAGAUCUAUAUUGCAAGUGAAGUGAUCGUAGAUUAGGAAGCCUUUCCAGUGUCUCCAUGGGAUCUUCCUCUAUGUCGAGCCAGGAUAGCAUCCACGUAAUUGGCCGGAAGAUACAAGUGCCUAAGCUGUCUCAUCUUCCAAAGAACAUUAGGUAUUCUACACACUCCAGCCCGUAAAUCAAGUGUCUGCAAGUUUUGUAGGUUGCCCAAGGACGAUGGCAAACAGAGGAAAAUUGAACGUCUCAAACUCAAGUAUCGCAGGUGGAUCAGCUCCCCAAUAGCUUUUGGGAGCCUCAAGUGAUCUGCUACUUGGAGAAAUUCACUUUUAAGUGUGCGAUCUUCAGAGAACGCAGGACGGAUCCCUUCAAUGGCCAACACUCUGAGCAUUUUGAAAUUAUUGAAUUGAGACUUCAUUUUCUUAGGAAGACGCCCUUCAUAACCAUCAUUACCUGAGACCAACAAGGCGAGUGACCUCAGGUGCCUAGUAUGUCUCUUCUCAGCUGGAGGGACAUAUUUCCUUACAUCCUCCUUAGAAAAAUGGACGGCUAGACGGUAAACUUGUGAGUGAUCAUUAUUGCCAUACUCAUUGAGAAUUCCAUCAUGAUAAUAGCUUUUGGAUAACAAGAAAUUCUCCUCUUUGGCCUUGACCAAACUGAGGUCUCUCAUUAAGUCAUGAAGGCGACACGAUGCAAAUGAUCUUCCAGCGGAGGACAGCAUCACAUCAUCAUCAUCAGGGGCUUUACCUUGAACCAUGCACCGUGUUACUAAUUCUCCCAGGUAUCUUUCUGCUACAUCCAUCAUUGAUUCUUCACCAAUCUGAUCUUUUGUUGAUAUUAUACCCUCUGCAAUCCAUAACUGGUACAAUUUCUCUGUGCCUAUGUCAGAGUCUUCUUCAUAUCUACUCAGGUAAAGGAAGCAAGGCUUCAAUUUGUAGGGCAAGUCAUUGUAGCUUAAAGCUAAUAUCUUGUGCAGAUUUCCUUCUUCUUUGAUCAAGUUGUUUCCUCUUCCAAGAUGAGCUUUAAUGUUUCUAUUGACAGUCGCCCACUCAUUCAGGUCCUUCUUGGUGGCAAGAGUUCCGCUGAGUACUAUCACAGCCAAUGGAAGACCCCCACAUGCUUUCACCAUUUCCUUCCCCAAGUUUUCCAAUUUUUUUAAAUCUUCAUGUUCUGUCAAAGAGAGAUGAUGAGUAGUUCUGUUAGUCUUAUUACUUAAAAGACAGAAGUGUCGAGUUGCUCAAUGUAUGUGCAGUACAUUGAAUUAACAAUUUAACAUUUCUGUUUAGCAUCAUGAAUAUAUGUGUGUGCGCGUGCACGUAUAUAUAUAUAAGAAACUCUGAGAAAAAUUGAAACUAUUCCAUUGAGAAACAAAAAAUAAGAAACUUAGAGAAAAAUUUAGCCAAUUCCAUUGAGGAAGGAUCAUCUGUUGUUGUUUUUGUUUUGUCAAUAAAAUUUGGAGCAGAAGACAUGUAAAGGGAUGUUUAUACUUUCGGGUGAAACAGAGGAUUUGCCUGUGUUUCGGGAAUUUCUCUCUCCGUGUACGUUGUGUGGUUAAAUCAAUAAAAGUUGUGAGCUUAACAAAAAAGGGGCAAAAAGAAAAAAAGAGUAUAGCCCCAAAAGAGGGGAAAAUACUCCCACACUUUCUAGUCCAAUUAAUCAUAUAACUGCUCAUCAAGCACUCACAAAAAGGCGUGGUCCACUUUGCGAGACCCGGUCUCUACACCGCUGUUCAUAAAAAACCAAAAAAAAAAAAAAUUUUACUUUAUACUCUAAUAAUUCAAAUGCAAUCUUCUUUUUGGGAGAAAUCAGUAAAAUAUUCGUCUUUCCUUCUCUUGCCUCUUUUCAUUAUUUUUUUUUAAUGAUUUCUUUUCUUCAAUUACACGGUGUACCAAUAAGGAUAGCCACAACAAACAAACCCUCAAAAUCCACAAGUUUAUCAUCCCUUGAUCAAGUAGGGCCCAAUUUAGCAAACUAAUAAAAAAAAUAAAGAGUGUUUUAAGAAAUCAAGUACCUCCAUGAAACCUGCCCCGUAAAGCUUUCCUCUGAAGCAGCUGCCAACUUUCGUCCUCACUUAAAAAGCGCGGUUGGUGGUGAAAACCAUUGGGAUCAAUAUGCAAAGCCACAUCUUUAUUGCGAGAGGUAACUAAGAUCUUGCUUCCGUCGUUUCUAAUUGGAAAUGCUUGCUUUAUACAUUCCCAUGGUUCUGUGGCCCAAAUGUCGUCAAGAACCACAAGACAUUUCUUAUUUUGCAGGAUUUGAAAAAGUUGUCUGACCAGCUCCUCAUCCCUCCACUUCACUAUUUCUUCUCUCUUUUCUGGGAUUAGGCUUAGCAAGAUCCGUUGCAAUAUGUCUUCCUUUUGCCAAGUUUGUGAUACAUAUACCCAAGCAAUGCCAUCAAAGCAGCGCCUCACUUUAGGGUGAUUGUAUACCUUUUGGGCAAGAGUUGUCUUUCCCAACCCCCCCAUCCCACAGAUGGAGACAACUCUAAAGCGUUGAUCAAUCUCAUGAUCAUGAUCAUGAUCGCCUCCCCUCAACAGAUGCUUUACCAGCAUCUCAACAUCAUCCUCCAAUCCAACAAAGUCAUCCUCGACAACAUGGGAAUAUGUCCGCCUCAAUUGUUGAUGCGAUGAACUACUUGCGCCGUCCUGUCUUGCGAUCCCAUAUUCCUGAAAACUUUUGGUAAGAUCAGAGAUUUUCGUUUUCAGAGUCUGAAUACCCGUUCCUGUGGUGUGCCUAGCAUAGCACUCAUUCAGGAUACCAACACAUCUCUUUGCGGUGCCUCGGAUACGGGGCAGGAGCGGUCCUCAGACGACCGCUCCUGAACGGUCUCCUCACAAUAAAAAACGUGAGGAGACAAAUGAGCCAAGUCAGCAAGGCUGAAGCAGGGCACAAAAACGGCACCGUUCCAAAUAAAAAAAUGUUGACUUCCAAACGUGAGCAAACGGAGCAAACGGAAGAGAAGUAGAUUUUGAAAUUCAAGUUGAAAUUUUGAAUUAGCCGCAGAAAACAAAACUGAGGGAAGAGUCUUGGCGUGCUUCUGAAGGAGCUCUACUCUGACAGUCUGACCGACCGCUCAUUGAAGGUAGAAAGCUGAAGUUCGAGUGGAAUUCGACUUACUAGCUCUUUCUAGUGAAGUGAGUGUAGUCUACAUUGAUGAAAAUAGCAAUUGACAGAAAAGUGAGUGGAAAGGCAGGCGGCAAAGAAGAAGCAAACAGAGAUGAAGCCAAAGUUUGGACGGAAAACUGAAUAGCAGAAGCAGCUGUGGUUUUCAACUGGGUAUAAGAGUAUUGUAUCUAUUUUGAAUGCGCACAAGGCAGGCGGUAAGGUAGAAGCAAACAGAGGAAGGACAAAAUCUCACGAAGCCAGAUUUUGUCCUUCAACUUAAUAGCAGAUGCAGCUACGCUCUCCGACUUCGGUGAAACGUGAAGCGUAUUAGCAGACCAAGGUAACAUGACUGAACCAUGUCAGUAACUGUGGCCAAUAAUUUGUCACCCAAAUGCACAUCUGUUAAAUGAAGGAUGAAAUUAGAGUCACUGAAGACAUAAUAUGAAGAUGAUACAAGAAUAGUGAAGUUGUACUAUAUUAAAUAUAUGUACCGUAUCUGUGUGUGUGACCAUUUAGUUUUUCAGUGAUGAACUAUAAAGAGAUAGUAGUUUUUGGAAGACCUAGGGGUAUGUAUUCAAGUAAACCAUCGAACGGAAUUAAGGAAAGAUGAGAGAAACAAAGUCACAUUUAACAAGUGAAUGAAUGUACAUCUUGUUGUAAAUUAGUUACAUGUUAUAGCCACCGUAUUACAAUUGAUAUGAAUCAUUGUGCAUCUAGUAAUUGAUCCAUGCUCAUGGAGUAAUAUUAGUUUGUCCCUCUCUUGACCGUGUAGUGUGUAUAAAAUAGAGGUGUAGAGUUGAAUGAGGUGAAACUGAGGAAAAGACAUAUAUGUGAAUAAUAAAUGGGUGAACCUUGUAUUGUAAGUAAAUUACAUGAUGUAAAAAAUAUAUUACAAUGAGUAGAAAGUGAUUGUUUGGCCCUCAAAAUAUAGAAAUAGUAGAAAAUGCGGAGUUGGCUUAUGCGGUUGUUAUUAACGAAUGACAUAAGGUCCAGUGAGCUAAAGAAUCUAGAAUCAAAAUAUAAUCACCAGCGUGGAUGUACAUACAGUUAAAAUAGACUUACAUCGUGUGACCAAUACAUUACAAUCCGUAUAAGUUAGUGUACAUGGAGUUGUAUUUGUACACAGAUUGUCUUAGAGUAAAAGUAAGAUGAUGUGAAUCAUUAAUCAUAUUGAUAGCGUAAUAAUAGAAUUUGGUAUACGAGUAAUGUAUGAUUCAUAACACAUUAUGAAUGGUAAUAUACAUUUAUGUUGUCGUUUAUGUACAUACAAUUCAUGAAGUGUUACAAAUUAGGGUGUUUGAUGCAUAAUUGGCAGGAUCAGAAGUAAUGGAUUGCAGCAAAUUGGCAGAAGAUGGGACCCCUGGGUUAGGAAUGGAGUUCAACAGCGGAGAGGAUGCGUACAAGUUUUACAACAAAUAUGCCUUUAAAAUGAGUUUUAGUGUACGUAAAGACUAUCUGAAUAAAGACAAAGACGGCGUGACCACGUCUAGGAGAUAUAGUUGCUGCAAGGAAGGUGUGAAACGCAAGUACGAAGGUGAUGUGAUGCCAAAGAGGACACGAGCUCCGACGAAAACAGGGUGUGGAGCUAAAAUGGUUAUUGUGUUGUUUAGAGGAACAAUGAAGUACCGUGUGCAUGAUCUUGUUUUAGAGCAUAACCAUGAGUUGCACAUUGCUCAAUGUGCGCACAUGAUGUCAUCACAAAGAAAAGUGAGCGAAGCUCAAGGAUUCCAAGCUGAAAUAAGCGAGGACGCUGGGCUUUCAUUGAAACAGAGCCAUGAGCUUAUGGGAAAGGAGACAGGUGGGAUGGGAAAUGUGGGAUAUACUCGGGAAGACCUGAAACGAUAUCUUCGUACUCGACGGGAAAGGAGUUUGAAAUAUGGAGAAGCAGGUAGCAUGCUGAAUUAUUUUCAAGAACAAACACUCGAGAAUCCAUCAUUUUUUCAUGCCGUACAGCUGGACUGUGAAGAGCAGAUAACGAAUAUCUUUUGGGCUGAUGCAGGAAUGUUAAUUGACUACAAAUUUUUUGGAGACGUAGUCACAUUCGACACAACCUACAAAACAAAUAAAGAAUACCGGCCACUUGGAGUGUUUGUGGGUUUUAACCAACAUAGGCAAAUUGUGAUAUUCGGUGCUGCCCUUAUGUAUGAUGAGACUAUAGAUUCUUUCAAAUGGGUGUUUGGUACAUUUCUAGAAGCAAUGUGCGGAAAGCGUCCAAGUACCAUACUAACCGACCAAGAUCAUGCCAUGGCAGCCGCUCUUUCAGUUGUUAUGCCUGAAACAUUUCACGGUCUAUGUACGUUUCACAUAAGGCGUAAUUUUAUGAAACAUCUUGGCAAUCACUACAAGGAAAAUAGUGAUCUUCCAUACAUGUUUGGUGCCUGCAUGUAUGAGUUGGAAGAAGUGGAACAAUUCAAUAGGGUGUGGGAGGCGAUGGUGAAGAAACACAAUCUUGAAAAUAAUGAAUGGCUCUCCGGGUUGUAUAAAAUUCGUGAUAAAUGGGCAAGGUGCAUGAUGAAAGAAAGAUGGACCGCGGGAAUGCGAAGCACCCAACUCAGCGAAAGCCUAAAUGCAGCAAUUAAAAAUCAUUUGAAACUGGAUCAUGACCUUGUGCAGUUCUUUAGACAUUUCAAUCGGGUGGUUGAUGAAAAGAGACAUAAUGAACUGAUUGCAGAAUAUGAAAUGAGGCAAAAGCUCCCCAUGGUAGGGUUAAGGCAAACACCUAUGCUUGUGCAUGCAUCAGAGACGUAUUCACCAACCGUAUUUGUUGCAUUCCAAAAUGAAUAUGGCGAGUCAACAGCUAUGGUUAUAUUGAGACAACAAGAUGCAGCGAUGUUUGUGGAGUUUGCGGUCAUGAGGUAUGAUGGAGGACCUGAAAGAAUAGUAGUAUUCAAUCGGAAUGAUCUAAGUGUAUAUUGCAGUUGCAAAAAAUACGAGAAUGAAGGCAUUUUAUGUGGGCACGCGUUGAAGGUGUUUGAUACCGUGGGAAUAAAAAUAAUUCCUCCUGAAUACAUUAAGAGGCGAUCGACAAAAAGAGCUCGGGCUGGAGACUGUUUUGAUCGGCGAGAACAGGAAGUUGUGGCUGAUCCUAAAGUAAUGAUUUCAACUCGUUAUCGGGAGCUUGCUCCAGCCAUGAUUAAAGUCGCAACUCGAGCAGCAAUAUCGGAGGACACCAGCAAAGUAGUAAUCACUGUCAUAUCCGAUUUGUCAAAGAGAGUUGAGCUCCUCCUCUCAAAAAGCGAAGAGCAACCUUUGCAAAAUCAAAAAAAUCUGAAUAUGGAGGAACGAGAUAAAAUUGAAAUUGUAAAUGAAAUGGGGGAGGCAGUAGUCGCAAGAGGCAUUAAAAAACGAGGCGGUGGGAAGAAAAGUAGAGUGAUGCAAAGUUGGGUCGAUAAAUUUGACAGAGUAAAAAGAAAAUCUAGAUUAUCAAGAACUACACAGACUACGGUAUGGAUCAAAUUUUGGUACUUGGGAAACAUUUAUGCUAAAACUAAGUUAUUGUUAUACUAUUAACUAAAGUUUAGGUAACAUUCAUUAUGAAAUAAUAUUAUUGCCGUGUCAAUACUGUAGGUCUCAGAAUCGGAGCCGACAUCGGUUUCAUUUGAGGAAUACAUGUUUAUGGGAUGCCGUUCAUCUACUGACUCUGUUUCGGUUAGUAUAAAAUGGACAUGACUCUUACUUUUAUUUGGAUGUUUCUAAUAGCAUAAAUAGUUACAUUGAUGUUACAUUGUGUGAUAAUGUUGUUACGGCCGUCAUCCUUCCUGAUAUACGUAUUUUGUUUGUCUUAUACAAUGAUUUGGCCCAUACGAAACUUGUAGACGCAUUCAAUGAGUCAGACAGUGAAUGACCCUCCAAAUGUUGUUGCUCCCGAUAUCGAUAAAAGUCAAACGGUAUGCAUACAUUUAGUAGUUAAAAUAAAACCUUCUUGUUCAUGUAGUAGAGCUACCUUUUUUUCUUUAAUUGUAACGGUGGGCUCCCGAAAGCUGUCAAAUCAUGCAAAUUAUGUAGUUAACGUAUGCUCGCUUUAAUAACGUAUUAUUUUUUAUUAUUUCAAGAUCCACCGUUUGGCUAAUCAGGGGCCUCCUGCAACUGCAAGUGUCCCUACAGAAUGGAUGCAUCCCAGAUUUUCUAUUUUUUCCAAGCAUAACUCUAUCAGAGAUGUCUUAAUGGUCUGAUAUAUCAUUUUUGUUAUAAUGUCUAGUCCAAUUUAACUUUAUAAGUGAGCAAUAUAGGCACUGGUAAUGAUUUGUUGACAGUCGAUUACUUAUACUAUAUAAUGUAGGAGGAGCGUGAGGCAAUUUCAACACACUGUGAUGUUGAUGCAUAUCAUGUAUUUGCACCAUCACCUCAGGUGAUAAACUUUUAUCGUUACAGCACAUAUUUAUGUAAUGUUAUUAAUUGGAGACUUGGACAUCGUAUAUCAGUAAUCGUAGGUUUUAUUAAUAAUAUUUGCUGAUUUGCCAUCGUUAUCCAUUUCAGGGAAGAAAUAACACACAGGGAUUGCAACUACGCGUUGA
RNAcentral lists this long non-coding RNA (34747 nucleotides) under Coffea arabica (coffee). RNAcentral describes it as "long non-coding RNA (CARA_LNC004556)". The record is from RNAcentral. Lineage: Eukaryota; Viridiplantae; Streptophyta; Magnoliopsida; Gentianales; Rubiaceae.